UGGGGAAUCUUGGACAAUGGGGGCAACCCUGAUCCAGCGACGCCGCGUGGGUGGUAAGGCCUUAGGGUUGUAAAGCUCUUUUACCCGGGAUGAUAAUGACAGUACCGGGAGAAUAAGCUCCGGCUAACUCCGUGCCAGCAGCCGCGGUAAUACGGAGGGAGCUAGCGUUGUUCGGAAUUACUGGGCGUAAAGCGCGCGUAGGCGGCAUGCCAAGUCAGGGGUGAAAUCCCGGGGCUCAACCCCGGAACUGCCCUUGAAACUGGCAAGCUAGAAUCCUGGAGAGGCGAGUGGAAUUCCGAGUGUAGAGGUGAAAUUCGUAGAUAUUCGGAAGAACACCAGUGGCGAAGGCGACUCGCUGGACAGGUAUUGACGCUGAGGUGCGAAAGCGUGGGGAGCAAACAGGAUUAGAUACCCGCGUAGUCC
This 423-nucleotide ribosomal RNA is filed under the name uncultured prokaryote. RNAcentral's name for it is "bacterial SSU rRNA". It matches the Rfam family "Bacterial small subunit ribosomal RNA", at positions 355 to 796 of the family's 1533-position model. The record is from RNAcentral.